UUCUCCCUUCUUCCCCAUUCACAAAGAAGAGAGGCAACGCGGCGGCAGCUCGGCGAGAGAACUCUCCAUUCGCCUCUCUCUCUCUCUCUCUCUUCUCUCCUCCUCCUACUCCUCCUCCUCCUCCUCCUCCUCUUCUUCUUCUUCUUCUUCUUCUUCUUCUUCUUCUUCUUCUUCUUUGUGCCAUUUCCGCCACGGCAUAUUCGAAAUCAGUAGCCAUCUCCUCUCCUACCUCUCCAGUUUUCGUCGCUGCCCCUGCAAGCGGCAGAUCUCAUCCGCCUCCAUCCUCUCUCUUCUCUCUUUCCUAUGUGAAUUAAAAUUUGUAUAGCAGUAGCAGUGGCAGAGCACUGGUCAUGGUUGGCAUCCCCAUCUUCUACCAGAUUCGAUGAUAGAUCGACAUCUCCCCUGUUCCACGAGCUUCAUUUCUAGUCCAAGAAAUCUCAGAAGUCUCCGCUAGUCCAUCCACACUAGAAGGAGUUGCUCGACCUCAAUAAUCUCCGAUCAUCAACUGCAAGCACACCGAACUCAUCUGAAUCUCCCCUGUUACAACAUCCAAUCACUAGUGAAUUUUGAUUCUGUGGUCGGUGAAGAAGCCAUAAUCGUAGCAGAUCUGCCUUUCCGUGUUCUCUAUUUGUAGUAGUCGGUUUUAGGCCAAAAUCCCAAUUUAGUUCUAAUGAUGUAUAUCAUUCACAAUGAUUUGUUAAUUUCAUAGCUGUAUCAGUUCUGUCGAACAGGACCGAACGCAUCUUGCUCGAUGUGAAGCAAACCAGUUCGUAAUGGAUCGUUUCAGGCCACAAUUCGAUUUUGGUUCAGAAGGCAUUGGAUUCGCACCAUGUGUUAUCAUAGUUAAAGCUGGAGAGGGUGGAAAUGGCGAGCACAACAGUUGAUAAAGAGACACAGGCCGGAGCAAAAAAGGAGGUUGUUUCGGUAGAAUUACCAGCACCUCCGGGUUGGAAGAAAAAGGUCUUUCUCUCGUUUUCUCUCUACUCUUACAAGGCUUUGCAACUUCAGUUCUGCUCGAAUUACUUUGUUCUUGUGCUUUAAUUUGUGUUUCAAUAUUAUAUUAUCUAUGCGUCUUUUGACUUCUUUAACUUUUCGGUGUUUUUGUUGUAGAACUUGCGCCAAGUAGUUGUAAUUUCUAGUUAGGGCAUAUCGCAGAAUUCUUUUCUUGUUUAUUUUUCCCUUAUAGAACUUUUGCUCCUCAAUUUUUUGUGUUUCCGGAUUUUUCUGGUUAUUUUGAUUAAAUGUAUUAUGGAAAUACUCGAAUGGUAAUUGUUUGGUCGUUAGGGUU
This is a non-coding RNA of Nelumbo nucifera (sacred lotus), 1288 nucleotides long. The record is from RefSeq and is a predicted model, not a curated record. Lineage: Eukaryota; Viridiplantae; Streptophyta; Magnoliopsida; Proteales; Nelumbonaceae.